This 430-nucleotide ribosomal RNA is filed under the name uncultured Acidobacteriota bacterium. RNAcentral describes it as "bacterial SSU rRNA". It matches the Rfam family "Bacterial small subunit ribosomal RNA", at positions 355 to 776 of the family's 1533-position model. The record is from RNAcentral. Lineage: Bacteria; Pseudomonadati; Acidobacteriota.
UGGGGAAUUGUUCGCAAUGGGCGCAAGCCUGACGACGCAACGCCGCGUGGAGGAUGAAGACCUUCGGGUCGUAAACUCCUUUCGAUCGAGACGAAUGGCCUCCGGGUGAACAAUCCGGAGGAGUGACGGUACCGAGAGAAGAAGCCCCGGCUAACUCCGUGCCAGCAGCCGCGGUAAUACGGGGGGGGCAAGCGUUGUUCGGAAUUACUGGGCGUAAAGGGCUCGUAGGCGGCCAACUAAGUCAGACGUGAAAUCCCUCGGCUUAACCGGGGAACGGCCUCUGAUACUGGAUGGCUUGAGUUCGGGAGAGGGAUGCGGAAUUCCAGGUGUAGCGGUGAAAUGCGUAGAUAUCUGGAGGAACACCGGUGGCGAAGGCGGCAUCCUGGACCGACACUGACGCUGAGGAGCGAAAGCCAGGGGAGCAAACGGG